RNAcentral lists this ribosomal RNA (429 nucleotides) under Gemmatimonadota bacterium. Its description in RNAcentral is "Gemmatimonadetes bacterium partial 16S ribosomal RNA". It matches the Rfam family "Bacterial small subunit ribosomal RNA", at positions 355 to 776 of the family's 1533-position model. Lineage: Bacteria; Pseudomonadati; Gemmatimonadota. The record is from RNAcentral.
UAGGGAAUCUUAGGCAAUGGACGAAAGUCUGACCGAGCAACGCCGCGUGAGUGAAGAAGGUUUUCGGAUCGUAAAACUCUGUUGUUAGAGAAGAACAAGGACGUUAGUAACUGAACGUCCCCUGACGGUAUCUAACCAGAAAGCCACGGCUAACUACGUGCCAGCAGCCGCGGUAAUACGUAGGUGGCAAGCGUUGUCCGGAUUUAUUGGGCGUAAAGCGAGCGCAGGCGGUUUCUUAAGUCUGAUGUGAAAGCCCCCGGCUCAACCGGGGAGGGUCAUUGGAAACUGGGGGUCUUGAGUGCAGAAGAGGAGAGUGGAAUUCCAUGUGUAGCGGUGAAAUGCGUAGAUAUAUGGAGGAACACCAGUGGCGAAGGCGGCUCUCUGGUCUGUAACUGACGCUGAGGCUCGAAAGCGUGGGGAGCAAACAGG